CGGUGGAUGAUGUGGUUUAAUUCGAUGCAACGCGAAAAACCUUACCACCUUUGACAUGUACGGAAUUUGCCAGAGAUGGCUUAGUGCUCGAAAGAGAGCCGUAACACAGGUGCUGCAUGGCUGUCGUCAGCUCGUGUCGUGAGAUGUUGGGUUAAGUCCCGCAACGAGCGCAACCCUUGUCAUUAGUUGCUACAUUCAGUUGGGCACUCUAAUGAGACUGCCGGUGACAAACCGGAGGAAGGUGGGGAUGACGUCAAGUCCUCAUGGCCCUUAUAGGUGGGGCUACACACGUCAUACAAUGGCUGGUACAGAGGGUUGCCAACCCGCGAGGGGGAGCUAAUCCCAUAAAACCAGUCGUAGUCCGGAUCGCAGUCUGCAACUCGACUGCGUGAAGUCGGAAUCGCUAGUAAUCGCGGAUCAGAAUGUCGCGGUGAAUACGUUCCCGGGUCUUGUAC
Molecule: ribosomal RNA, 455 nt
Filed under: uncultured bacterium
Lineage: Bacteria
Description: bacterial SSU rRNA
Rfam family: Bacterial small subunit ribosomal RNA
Source: RNAcentral